AUGUGGCCCUGGUCCUCCUGCCACCGUGGUGGAGCUGAGCAUAGCCAGGGAGCGUUGGAAACUUCCCAGCAGCAGGUGAAGGGCAACGGGUUUUUAAGAAGCCUCUUAAAAUGCACCUCUUCCCUGGGCUGUGUGUCUGCGGCCCUCGGGUUGAUGGUUUUUUGGGCAUCUCUGUCUCCCCUCCAGCUGCCGCACAUCCUGGGUGGCUUGUCCCUGACUUGCCCCUUCAUGCCUUCCUUAUAUGAGUCUCUGUUCCUCCUCCACCUGCCAACCUCUGCUCACCCUUCAAGACCCCUCUGGAAGAUCCCUGCCUCUGCGAGGUUGCCUUCAGCCUCCCUGUCACCACCUCCCUGGCCCCCAGGCUCCCUGGGUUCCUCUUCUAUCCCAGGAGGACCUGACCACAGCUGGGCCCUCCCAGUGUGCCCUGUGCAGCUCAGCGGCCUGCCCGAAAGGCCCUCCAGCAGCUUAUCUUGCUGUGGAAAGGUAGCUAGGGUCCCCACCUCGGUCCUCACUCCUCCCAGUGUAGCUCUGAGCCCAGGCCUGGCGCCACCUGCUGAGAAGUGGGGAUGGGGCUGGGGAGGGGCGCCAGUGCAAGGGAGGCCUUCAGCCUGGGCUGGGAACUCGGCACAGGCAGGAUGGACGCUCACAUGUGCAGGGCCUGUGGCUACUUAGCACCUUCGCAGCAGAGUGGCAGAGGCUCCCAGAUCCUCCUGCCUCAGGCUCCCAAGUCACUGAGUUCUCCAGGGUCAUUUUCAAACUGACCCUCCUGGGGGAGGCGCAGUGUGGCUUCAAUCUCAAUGAUAAUCCCCCUCCACCCUACCCCGCUUCCAAGAAGUGUUGAGAGGCCCAAGAAAGGACAAUGUGAGGGACACGCUGUCUUCCUGGACAGCCACCCGUGCCUCUUCUGCAGCCUGUCCCGCUUGCCAUCAAGGUAGGAGUCUAUUCCCCCACCCCCAUGGUGGUCCACCUUAGCUACUGGCCAGAGGAGGCCCAGAGGACUGUGCUGUGUGGUUCUGGGCUCUCAGAGAAGCCGGCUGUUCUCUCAGCCUCCUGGGCAYUGCUCCCUCUGGGCACCAGCUGCUAUGCUGGGAAGUCUCAUGGGGAGGCCAUGAGAGGGGUGCCAGUGGGUGACCAGCCGGCCAUCUGAACUGUAAGUGCAGGAGUAAGGCACUGUGGGUUCAACCCCAGUACCAAAGAAAAGUGUGGUGGAUGGGGUGUGGUGACUUCUGAGCUGGGCCACAGAAUACCUGGGUUUCCACCUCCCUCUCGGGGAUCUCGGAAGACAGGCAGUCUCCCUCAGCUGCCAUGCUGGGUGGGUGUUCUAGCAGUCCUGCUCCCUGCCUGCUCAGGAGGAGCUGAGGCCUCCACAGCAGCCAGCCAUCUGGGAACAGACCCUGAGCCCCUGCGAGGCUGCAUAGGGCUAGCCCUCGGGCAUCCUCUCUGGAGCUUCCCGAGAGACCUGAGCCUGACCCACCUCGGCAUGGGUCAGUCUGACGACAGAACUGGAGACAUUCGAGGUGCUGCUAUGGAGUGAGUUGUGUCCCUCGUUCAUGUGCUACAGCGUGACCCUCAACACGUGCAGAGCUCCCUAGGAUGGGCCCUGCUAUGGCUGAUCUGUGAUGUCCCCCAGAAGCUCAUGAGAGACAGAGCCAGGACGCUGCAAGGUCAGAUGAUAGCCUGUGAGAGCCGUGGCUGCCUCAGUGGGUCAUCCCCUGGACUAGACUAGCUGGUAUGUAGGGUGUGGCUGGAGAGGCUGGGUCCCGGGAUGUGCCUUUGGGGUUAUAUUGUGUCCCUGGCCUGUAGCUUGCGCUCUCUCUGCUUCCUGGCCACCAUGAAUGACCAGCUGUCUCUGCCAGGCCCUUCCUCCAUGAUGCUCUGCUUUACCUCAGGCCCAGAACAAUGGAUCCGGCCAGCCAUGGACUGAGCCUCUGAAACCACGAGCAAAAAUGAACUUUUCCUCCUCUAAGUUGUUCUACGACUUUUGGUCUCAACAAUGAAAGCUGACUAAGACCGCGAUCCACUAGUGUGACGAGCGGUUGUUAGUGUCUCAGUCUGAGGCACAGCUGGGUUCCAUCAGGUCUAUUUCAUUGAUGCUCAUCACACUUCAGACACACAUCCUGAUUGUGAGUCCUAACUGAGCUACCCAAGAGUCCCAGAUGCUCCCCUGACAUGGGUCCUAAGUCGGGGUCUCUGGACCUAGAUUCAAGCUGGAGGCGUCUGGUGGGGAGACAGCAGCGACAGAGACCUCCCUCUCUGUCCAGGUCCUGUUGGUCCCAUCGCCCCCCAGAGUCUGGGUUUUAAGUCCUAGUUCAGUUGUGCUUGCAGCAGUGCAGAUGCUGACAUCACUAUCUAGGUCUGCCUGGGCCGCAGUUGGCCUCGGUUCUGCCACUCACAUCACAUCAGGGGCACGUUGCUUAUGGUCUUUCCUCCACACACACUCGAAUUAAUACAACCAACAGUAACCCUGUGUAUCCCUGGCACUCAGGUCAACUAGGACCAGUGGUCAGGCACACCAGAGGGUGACCGCGUGAGGGCAACAAACCUCUCGCUUAGACCCCUCCCCUUCGAGGGGGGCUUCCUCACUGCUCCUGGCUGCCUUGUCCUGGGGCGGGUGGCCUGAGAAGGGAGCACACUGGCUGUGCGUGUACCAGGCACUUGUUGGUCUCUGUGUCACUGAACCCAAGGGCACUGGGUACCACAGCCGAUGGCUGCUCCUGUCCCCUUUUACAGGAGACCAAGGGACUAGUAACUUGCUCAAGGUCACAGGGUCGUGAGGGGCAGGACCUGUGCCAACGCUCUGUGCUUUGCUGGCCACAGCACAGGCCAGAGCUCUGCUCAGAGAGCCCUCUUGGUGACCAGGAGCUACACCCACAACAGCCCCCUGCUUCCUCAGGUGGAGGCCCGAGGCCAUGGGCCCCCUCCUCUGCACCCCACCUUUCCCUCCACGUGAUGGCUUACCUGUGCCCAGUCUUUCCAGUGGCCUGAGCUCCUCCCUGGGACAGAGACCUCCUGCUGCAGAGCAGCCCCACGUGUGCUUGGCUGUUGCUUAGAGUGCGGCCUUGUGCUGGGCAUUCAGAACGGAGGCUCCAGGGCCCUGGGGGGGCGGCAGGCCUGGCCAGAUCACAGACCAGCCCUGGCCCAGGGAACAUCCCUGGGAUCUAACCUAGGGCCACUCCUUCAUCUUCCCUGGGGCUGGGGUAAGGCUGGGGGUCGAGCAUUUGCCCAACAUGAGUGAGGCCCGGGCUCCUCCUCAGCACCAAAAGGGAAAACAGGGAAUCUAUGGCAGGAAGCCCUCUGCCAAGGCCGGGGCCGGGACAGACUCAGUGCUGCCCCUGGGAAGCCGAGAAACAGCAGGCCUCAGUCAGAGGCCCCGGAGGGCAGGGCUGCUCUGUCCCUUGUGGUCCUGGCCUCCCACAGGCAGCAGGACCCCCCUGGGCUGUUAGGUGACCCAGCUGUGAAGGGGUCCCAGGAGCUGGGGCUCCCUCUCCCGGGGCUGCCCGCGUCCCAGACCCAGGCCUGGGCUCUGAUGCCUCUGUGCUAAUUUCACAAAAGACUCGACUUGAACUCCUGACUGAGCAGCUUCACUUUGACAGGACUGAAGAUUUGUGACAAGGCUGAUCAUCACCCCAGAGCGUGGGUGAUGUGCAGCCUCCGGGGAACCGGCUAGCGGGUAUAUUUUAUGGCUUGCUUGGAAGACAAACGCAGGCAUUUAUGUGUCACUUGUUGCAGUAUAAAUGCUAACUUGUACUUCUUUCAAAACUUUUAAUGAAUUGUAUGCAUUCUGGAGGAUUUAUAGGAUGAGUGGGAUGGCCCAAAAUGUUACUUUCAACAUAUUUGUCACUUUGGAAACAGCACCAAAAAAAUCUGGAAGAUAUUGCACUCAGAAAUAAAUCAUAAAUGGAUGCAUCUGAAAAGAGGUUU
Urocitellus parryii (Arctic ground squirrel) is the source of this 3921-nucleotide long non-coding RNA. The record is from Ensembl. NCBI's taxonomy places the organism in Eukaryota, Metazoa, Chordata, Mammalia, Rodentia, Sciuridae.